Molecule: long non-coding RNA, 871 nt
Filed under: Homo sapiens (human)
Lineage: Eukaryota; Metazoa; Chordata; Mammalia; Primates; Hominidae
Description: HSALNT0366222
Source: RNAcentral
UCCCCAUUGUUAGGAGGCGCACGACUGUAUUUAGUCCAACAACUUGCUGAAAUGUGAUUCUACCAUUUUUCCAGUCAACUCCUAAGUUUUAAAUACCAUACAUCUGCCACCUUACCAGGCAGUUUCAACCAUAACAACAGAAGAAUACUCUUGGCAAAUAGAUCCCACUCUCUGAGGGUUGUGUUGGGGCUCAGAAAAUACUACCCCGAAGUAUGACACUUUGGCAUGCUGAAUACUUUGAACUAAAAGAGAUUGGAAGGCCUCAGAAGCAGCCUCGGAAGCAGUCUCUCCCUCUGAUCUCCUGCCCUUCUGUCUCCUGCCCAUCUUUCGUCCCAGAAGUGAGUCACAGAAACCAGAAUUCUUCCCCAAGCGCAGCUUAACUUGGACUCACCACCUAUCAAGUGCUCGACAGCCACGUGUGCAGUGGUUCCUACGUGGAGCAGCAUACAUCCAGAGAUGCAAAUAUUAAUGAGGACAGUGCUAGUAACAGAGUUGCUGAGCAAUCUAUGUCCCCUUGUAAGAACCAGUGCCCCAGGGGAAGAAACAGAACUCCACAAGGUAGCAGUGUGGGUGUAGUACCCGCAUGUGCCCAUGUUAUGGGAAUGUAGAUGGGGAGUGACCACCGCCAACAGAAGUGUGGCCAUCUUGCCCGAGAUGCCUGAGGACCUCCUAUUUUUAGAUGCUGCUGCCCAAGGCCUGUAUUUCAUGCUAUGGCUUUUGUCAUUUGAAUUAUCAGUAGCUGUCUCGGAGCUAUUACGCUUCACUGGGCCCUGGAGGAUAUUGUCUUAUACAGUCCACUGGGUUUUGGAUAUGCAGUCUGUGCCUUUCAUUGCCUUCCUGGAAAAUAAUAACUAAACUCUUCCUCACCAGG